This 253-nucleotide ribosomal RNA is filed under the name uncultured bacterium. RNAcentral's name for it is "partial 16S ribosomal RNA". It matches the Rfam family "Bacterial small subunit ribosomal RNA", at positions 524 to 776 of the family's 1533-position model. The record is from RNAcentral.
UACGUAGGGUGCGAGCGUUGUCCGGAAUUACUGGGCGUAAAGUGCUCGUAGGCGGUUUGUCGCGUCUGCCGUGAAAGUCCGGGGCUCAACUCCGGAUCUGCGGUGGGUACGGGCAGACUAGAGUGAUGUAGGGGAGACUGGAAUUCCUGGUGUAGCGGUGAAAUGCGCAGAUAUCAGGAGGAACACCGAUGGCGAAGGCAGGUCUCUGGGCAUUAACUGACGCUGAGGAGCGAAAGCAUGGGGAGCGAACAGG